AUGUAGUUCAAUAGUAGAACACAUGCUUGGCAUGCAUAAGGCCUUGGGUUCCAUCCCCAGCAU
Molecule: transfer RNA, 63 nt
Filed under: Fukomys damarensis (Damara mole-rat)
Lineage: Eukaryota; Metazoa; Chordata; Mammalia; Rodentia; Bathyergidae
Rfam family: tRNA
About the family: Transfer RNA (tRNA) molecules are approximately 80 nucleotides in length.
Source: Rfam by way of RNAcentral